GAUCAGUUCAGGUUUCCCAUGCAAAUGUACUUGAGCUCCAGGUACUCGUCCAUGCCGUAUUUUGAUCCUUCUCUCCCAAGGCCAGAUUGCUUGACGCCGCCAAACGGCGCAACCUCUGUUGAGAUGAUCCCCUCGUUCACACCGACUAGUCCAUAUUCAAGAGCUUCCGAAACGCGCCAUGAACGAGGUAUGCUCUUUGUGAAGAUAUAUGUAGC
RNAcentral lists this unclassified non-coding RNA (215 nucleotides) under Hevea brasiliensis (rubber tree). Lineage: Eukaryota; Viridiplantae; Streptophyta; Magnoliopsida; Malpighiales; Euphorbiaceae. The record is from RNAcentral.